AAAUUCUUAUUAGACAAUUGGAAGCUGAAUUAUGAUAUUCCACUUUUAGGAGCGUGUUUGGUUCGCCUCUUUUUCGCUCAGGAAUUAGAAUCGAAAUGGAAGAAUCCGUUUGUCGGUAUUUGGCAUGUGGUAGUUUAAUUCUGAUUUCGAUUUUCGGGUCAAUAGAUAUCUCGCAAUCACCUUGUUUUAUAAUCCUGCCUAGAAGACCGAAUUGAAAGUUGAAUUCAAGCGGAAAAAAUAUAUUUUAUAAGAAUAUCUCAAUAAUAUUUUAUAUUUUUAUUUAAAAUUAAAUUUAAUUUUUUGACUUUAAUUUUUAAUUAAAAUAUAAAUUUAAAUUUAGAGAUUAAAUUUUUAAUUCUAGAUUUAGAUUUAGAAAUUAAAUUAAAAUAUAAAUUGAAUCAAGCAUUUUG
This 410-nucleotide long non-coding RNA is filed under the name Ananas comosus (pineapple). RNAcentral describes it as "long non-coding RNA (ACOM_LNC018200)". Lineage: Eukaryota; Viridiplantae; Streptophyta; Magnoliopsida; Poales; Bromeliaceae. The record is from RNAcentral.